This 90-nucleotide transfer RNA is filed under the name Puniceicoccales bacterium. RNAcentral describes it as "tRNA-Ser". It matches the Rfam family "tRNA". From Rfam's summary of the family: Transfer RNA (tRNA) molecules are approximately 80 nucleotides in length. Their secondary structure includes four short double-helical elements and three loops (D, anti-codon, and T loops). Further hydrogen bonds mediate the characteristic L-shaped molecular structure. tRNAs have two regions of fundamental functional importance: the anti-codon, which is responsible for specific mRNA codon recognition, and the 3' end, to which the tRNAs corresponding amino acid is attached (by aminoacyl-tRNA synthetases). tRNAs cope with the degeneracy of the genetic code in two manners: having more than one tRNA (with a specific anti-codon) for a particular amino acid; and 'wobble' base-pairing, i.e. permitting non-standard base-pairing at the 3rd anti-codon position. The record is from RNAcentral. Lineage: Bacteria; Pseudomonadati; Verrucomicrobiota; Opitutia; Puniceicoccales.
GGAGAGAUGGCAGAGUGGUUGAUUGCACCGGUCUUGAAAACCGGCAUGCCAGUAAUGGUAUCGAGGGUUCGAACCCCUCUCUCUCCGCCA